This is a long non-coding RNA of Gallus gallus (chicken), 12788 nucleotides long. NCBI's taxonomy places the organism in Eukaryota, Metazoa, Chordata, Aves, Galliformes, Phasianidae. The record is from Ensembl.
CUACCUUGAAAUCAAAUUGGAAACUGAGUGGAAAAAUAGUUCUCCUCUUGACCCUCUCUGCGUUUAUACUCCAAUCUACACCCAACGCAUGGCUUUGUUGUACACUCUGUAUGAGUGCCCUCUAUAAUUAAACCUUUAUUCAAAUCUCCUCCUGCCUUCUUCAUCACCCUUGGUUAGAUCAAAACAGGAGAGGCAAAAAAAAAAAAAGGAACUUGUCUGGGGUGCAGAAGCAGAGAGGAAGAGAUACUAUUUAAUGAAGCAGGCUAACGGUGGUGGGGAGAGAAAGUCUCAGUUCUCCCAUCUCAGAAACAUUGAGCCUGGAAAUAUUGCUGAAAUCACAUUUGGGAACAAAGCUCCGCUUUAAGUAGGCUCACCCAUGAGUGUUGCUAAGCAAUGGAGAGAAGGCGAGAGAGGGAGAGCGCCUGACUUCAGGAUUAGAAGGAUAGAUAGAAGGAAAACCACUAAGGCUUCUAUGUAGCCUUAUUUAAAGUCAGCUUCCAAGUCCUAUGUUUUUCUUGCCUGUCUUCUGACCUAUUUGCACCACAAUUAAUCAAAUAUGGUUCAGUAUCACCACGCAUCCAGCACAGAGUUGCGCCGCGUCCUGGAGCUCUGGCACAAGCAGUUACGCACCAGAACUGUCAACAUGUCUCCACAUUGAACAGAAAGGAAGGAGAGAAGAAGAAAUCUUUCCUAUCAGAAGCAGCAGGGGUUGCUGCAGGAAGAAGAUAAUUCCCCCCUGCUGCUCUACUGACAGCCAUCGAACUCCACAGGAGGAAAACGGCGUUUUAAUCAUGGAAUUGAAAAACACGGCAGUUCCCAAAUCUUCAUCUCACCUUGGUUGAUUUACAUACAUUUAGGACAAACUGGCUCACUGUGGAAUUAUGUUGUAUGUGGAAGAUAAGAGAGGAGCGAAGAAUUCAGGGUAAUUCCUAGUUUGUAGCUGUGUGUGUAACCCCUCCAGAGCAUCCCAGAUAAACCAUGACCACUCUUCCUUAAAAGCACUGUGCAGACUUCCUAAUUUCAAGUCAUGUGCCUUAUAGACUCAGUGCUAUUUAAAAAAAAUGUAAAGAUAAAAAGAUAAGCACCUUAUUAACAAUUGCAAGUCAAGGCCUGAUCAGGGUCCACCGAAGUCAUCAGAAAACCCACGACAGAGAUCCAGGGAGUUUUGGAUAUUUCAUCAGACUGUCAUUAUAACAAAGGCACCCCAGAAUGGGCCGGCUAAGAUGAAUGCAAAUCUUGCAUCAGAAACAGCCAGGCAUCCCCAAAAUUAAAAAUUUGAGCACACAGCAGAUUAUAGGCAGCAGCUUUGGGCAUGUGGCACAACAUCUGUUACAAAAACACUAGAAAGCAGACCUGCGGCAAACUGGACCUCUGCCAGCUCUCAGGAUUUUUUUUUUUCCCCCCUUGACAAGGCUGUCAGGAAAUGGACAGAUGGCAGCCGACGCACUCGCAGGAUAGUUAGUUCAGUUAACAGUCAAGUAUGCUAAAUGAUUUCAGAUUCACUCCGCACCAGGCAUUGUAUUUUGUACUGAAUCAUUAACGCUGGGUCCUAAUAGGAAUAUAGUUUGGUAGCAAGAAACUGGCAGAUAUUGUAUUUCACAAAACACUUUCUCUGGAACAAUUUGUCAGGGAACAUUAGAACUGCCUUCAUGAAUAAAGCCAGAAUUGGCCAAGUUUACCAAGCUGGUUCGUGCAUAAUCUUAACUCUACAGUAUUCAAAGAAUAGGGAUUGAAACAAACAUUAAGAUGCAGGGCAGAUAGUAGCACAAGUUGUUCCCACACGUGCACUCAGCUGAAAAAGCAGCGUUAGCCAUGCACAGCGUGUGGGAUACCUUAUCACUGUGGCUUGUCUGCCUUACCACGUGCAAGGCACUGAGCUCUCCCAGCAGGCCAGUUCUCACAAGCAGCCCUCUGGAUGGGAUGACAUGCUUUUCCCCCCGGCACACUGAUGUGAAGAUCUGACCCAGGAAAAUUGGUAUUUCUUGACUUUUAUAAGCGCAACCCAUAAAUGAAGUUGAGGCACUAUAUCUUCACGAGGCAAAUAACUCAGCAUUGAACACUGGUGAACAGCACACAGGUGGACUUCUAGCAUUAAGAGAACUAUCUUUUUAUUCUUCCUCUGUAUGAUCAUAUCUUCAACAGUGUGUUUUGUAGACUUAGUGAGAGGAUUACUCCAUCAUCUUGCCUUUUUUUUUUUUUUAAGUAGCAGUACAAGAGUAAUCUUUGGAAGAAAAUAUGUUUGAAGAAAACUCAAAGUUGCAAAGCAUUACUAGUGCCCGAACAACAAAGGAAUGACCUACAGAGUCAGGUGAUGGCCUACAGAACUGCAGGUGAUCUGACUUGCAGUAACAAUAUUACAUCAUGCUGUAAAAGACUUGUACCUUGGAUCCCACUCAAGAGCCCUCCAAAAGCACAGAUCUGACAGUGGAAUUUAAGAGCAGUCUCUGAAGUCCUACAGAACUGACAAACUACUCAUUUAGAGAGGCUCCACGCUGGGUGACUCCCAUGAUCUCCUUUUCUUUACAAACAGCAUUUCUUUUAAAAAGGCAUUGCCACCACUGCUGGUUUCAACACCACAAUCCCAGAGCAGCGGCAGAGCCCACAAAGGAACGUGGUCCUGAACAAGUCAACAGGCAUGGGUGAAAGGUCUGCAAGCAACGUCACGCUCCAAACCUCAACAGUUCACUUUUCAUUUGCACCAGUAUUUCUAUUUUUGCUCUGUGGCAAAAAUACCCAGAGGCAUUGGUUGGAGGGAUUUUUAAUCUAUGAUUUGUUUAACUUCAAAACAAUAAAUAAAAACUAAAAAUCAAUUAGAGCAGCCAGGAAGAGAGAGUGCUGCUUUUGUUGGCUGGAAAUGAAGAAGUUUAAUGUAUCCUUUCAUAAACAAACCUCCUCUAUACAUGAUUUUCUUCUAACAACAGGCAGGCUUCAAAAGACAUUUGGAGGUUUGGUUCAGGAUAGGAACCCAAAAGUUGAGAAAAUUCAGUUCUCUGCAAAACAGAGCUGAAAGUCUUGAGAACAGCAUGAGUGAAAUUUCCAGUGCUUCCCAUGUCUGCUCAAGCAGAGACAGUACUGUUAAAACAACCUCUCAGGCUGCUUUUCAGGAAACUGGCUAUUUUCUGCUGAACCAGCCAGAAACCAUUAAGUUCAAUACAUAAAAUAAUGAAAAGAGAAGUUGGCUGCCCUCAAAGGUAAACAGAGGUCAAGGUGGAGCUUGGCAUGCAGUUAUUCUUUGGUUAAAGAAAAAAAAGCUGCUCCAUGCAGAUCUGCUCAAAUUAAAAGAAAUAAUUUACAUAAAGUUUAUGAACUCAUCUGUUCAUCUUCCAGAAGUAAUUCAGUGGAUGAGAUUAUUAGCAGGGCCAUUAGCAGAUCUGAACUCUUUCUAGGAAAAAAAGAUGAUUUGUAUGUCUAAUAAAAAUGAAACCAUAAUGUUCAGUUUCAAUUUGACCAACUAAUUGUAUAUAUACUUUCCAAAUUAAUAAAAAUGAACUUCAGUAGGUUCUACUCAGCAUCAAACAAGCCAUACACGUGAGAAAAUUAUGAGUUAUCAGUAAGCAAUGAGGUUAAAAUGCAGUGAAUAAAUCACUUCCAGAACCUAGAAAAGAUUCUGCAGGAUAUCUCAUCCAGACAGGUUUGCUAUUCCUUCACUGACAGUACUACAUCCUCUGCAGCCCUAACAGCUCCUGUGUUUAGACACCCAGGGAAAGGGUUGGGCAUAUUCAUAGCAUAAAUGAAUAGCAGGAAUGACAGACAAACAAAUGUUCUUUCAGAGGCCUUGACUGACCGACCUCCUUCACAGGCCUCAAUACAAAAUCCACUGAUUGAGCACAGGUGCUCAAAACCAGUAUUUGCAGGCCUCAAGUUUUAGAGCACAUAGAUGGAGUUAAUAAAACUACCAGGACUCAGACACUAAGUACAGUUUUCCUCUUUUCCUUCUCACCCUGCAGACAAUCCCAUUUUAAUUACUGCCUAACUCUCCACAUAACUUCAUUCCUCACUGUACUCUUCAUUAUUCUCUUUUCUAGCCUCUUUCUCACCCCAAGGCAAGACUGAGAAAGCAAGGACUGUCAGAGAAAGAAGUUGGAGGGGAAGCCCUUCCCCAGCAGCCUGGGACAGAACAGAACAGGUUUUCAGAAAUCCCCUGCUUUCUCAUCUCAGACGGUGCCAGAGCAAAUAGCCAGAGAAAGCAAACACCUGAGCCCACGGCCAGGCUCCCCCUCACACACCCCACCGGCCUCCGCAGGCUGGUGGAUGCGAUCAGACAUGUUCCUAGCUCCAAGGGAUCCCUGAGUGAUAGAUUUUACAUCUCAACCUUCCAAAAGAAAGGUGAAGGUGAUCAAUCAGAAGUGCUAUUUGUUAUCAGUCCUAAGAGCUGCUUACGGUGCUACUGGCGGGAGGUGUAUUUUAAAUUUCAUCACCCACUGGAUAUCUGUCUUCUGCCUCUGUUAAUUCCCAAGGCUGAUCAGAGCAAUCUAGCUAUACCUAUGGCCUAGAGAGAUUUUGGAGCAGUGCAAGUCAAAACACCCUUGCCUUGCAAAAACAUUAAAAAUAGAUACUUUGAUUGCACUUAAAAAGGAAGCAUGCUUUGACCCAGACAAGUCCAGGCUAGAUUGCCCAUGACCUUGACUAAUCUUUUCUUGGCAUGUUUUUGAGUGCAUCAUCUCCCUUGAGCACAGCACAUGCAGCACUCCCAGUUCCUAAUGCAGCUCUUUUUUUUUCCCCCAGGCAUGCUCAGAUGAAGAAUUUGAAGCUAGGUUUUCCUUUAAGGGCAAGGGAGGACUAGAAGUUUAGAUAUCCACAGUAAAAUUCUGGGGACGAAGGAGAAGAGUGUAAAAUUGCAAAGUCCUGAUUGUAUAAGAACAAUGAAUAAGUUCCCAGAGGGAAGAUUAGAACAAGAAAGAGUGAUGGUGCUAGGAAGGAGGAAGCACUGGGAUAGGAAUCACCUCUCAGGAGAAGCUCUGUAUCCCAGAAGCAAGUCAAUUAGGAUUCCUUCCGAAAGGAAGGGUGCUGAGGCUUCAUCACAAAGCAGUAUUAGCCUCUGGCUUUGCACCUUCCUGACCUGCCCCACACAAAAGCACCUACAAUCAUCAGUUGAACUGGUUCUGUAAGCAUUUCUGUCCUUGGAAUUUAUUGUUCACUCUUUCUUAGACAAGAUCCCAAUGUAUUUUUUGCUGAAUCUAGAUUUAUUUUGUGACUUAACGUGUUUGUGUUAAACCACAGAGACAUGUGACCUAAGCAGUGCCUGCCAUACAACAGGAUGCAGCAGCAUUUAGAUCACCCAGGUCAACUAAACAAGGAAGAACUGGAUACAAUUAUUCCAAAAACCUCAGCUGAGGUGUAAUAAGUUGCCCUAGCCAACAAAUCCUCAUCCUUGCCCUAGAGGCUAUAGUUCAUCAGAUACCUUAAUUCACAGUUAUGCAGCAACUUCUAUCCUAUGACCACAAAAGCCUCUUACAGACUGUACAUACAGAAUAAUUCAUGCAUACAUGCAUGCAAUUCAGCAGAUGUAGCCACACUAAAGUUGAAAGCAAUGUUACAUUCUCGACUCUUAGUGAAGUUUGAGGACAUGCUUUUUUAAGCCAGAUUUCUUCCUUUAACCAAAGAAGCACCACACGCUAAGUGGUAUAAAUUUUCUUAUGCAGGGAAUAAGGUCCUAAUUAUUGCUUAAUUUUGCCAGUUCCUAUGAAUCACCAGGAAAAGAUUAAAGCAAGAGUAAAUGUUGGUUCCUUGUCCUGUUUACAGUAAUCAGCUCAAACAAAGUAACUUGAGUCACUUACAUCAUUAGAAGGUGCAUAUGGUUACAUUUUUCUCAUUAAGUUUGCACAGAAGAAAGGAGAUAGAUGCCUGCAGACAGAACUCCCUGCAAACAACUGUUAGUCUGAUGAAUUAAGGAAGUCUAAGAACUCCAUGCCUGCCUACUAAUGCAAUGCUCUUUUUCUUAAGAUUCAUAUUUGAGCUGUUCCCCAUGACAGGUAUGAGUAGGGUGGCAGUGGAGAGUUAAGAACAACGCAGACAAACAGAAAACUGAGCCUUGCACAGACCAACAGCCUUAUAUUUAUCAGCAGCCAAAGACUUCUGUGGUGCAGCCAAGUAGCCAAUAAGUGAAAACCACCACCUACCAACCUCCCCACUGCAAAGUAUGUUUUAUCCUGAAAGCUGGCUACUAAAUUCAUUUUCCAGGAGAGCCUUAACAUAGAGAGCAAGUAAUACUAAAUGUACUACAUCCUGCUGGCAUUCCUUUCAUCCCAUAGGAUAAUACAAACUAUUUAAAUCAAGUAUCUAUGCCUUUUUGCUCCAUCAUUCUUUUUCUUAAGUGUCCAGAUGUUUGAUUAUUCCUCUCAUUGGUUAGAAGGAAACUGAGCCAGAAAAUCAGGAUGAAUAGCACGAGGAUGAGUGGGCACCAUUUCAGAAAGUCUGUGCCUUAAACCCAUUAGUAUUCACAAUGUUUAAGUGCCGUGAUACUCAAUUCAUUUUAUUGCAAUAACAAAAUAGCCUGUUUUGCCAUCAUAAGUCAGAUAAUCAAGGAUGUAAGCAUUUUACCUCUAAAAGCUUGCACAGCUAUACCACCAGUUGGUCAUUAUGGGUGUGCAAUAGUACUUAAAUAUUUCUUUAAAAGGGAAGUCCAGGUUUUCUUCCCUUUUGGCUCAACUCUUAUUUACUGAAAAUUAAAGACAAGUUAUCUCCUUAAAAGAAAUUGACAAUUACGAUGCCUUGCAAAAAGAUCUGGCCUUUGAAGUACGAAAUUCUGUUCCAGUGAAAGAAAUGCAGAAUAGUUCACAAACUCAACCAUAUGAAUCUUUCACACAACUCUGGAAUUACAACCACAAAGAGGUGUCUUGGUGUAAUCACCCUAUCAGUCCAAUCUGAAUGUCAAAAAGAGAAAGCUGAAAAGUUUGGGUUCAAAUCUGGCCUGCUUACAGGCCGCGUUAUAAAAUACCUCCACAUUUAUUGUAAAAAACCUCAAAGCUCAUUACUGUUUUCUUUUUCCUGUAAAUAAUCCAUUUCACCCCUUUGCCCAGAAGCAACCAACUUAACAGUGGAAUGCAGCAGCUUGUUCCUAACACAACUAUAUUGAAGCAAAAAAAAAAAAGCUAUAUGCAACCAGAUCUAAAAAGAAAAAACACAAUCAUUCACAUGAGAUUUUGAACAAGAUGAGGGCCCGCUCAGUUCUCCUCCUGGAGAAGAAAAUAUCCCUUGACUUCAGAAUGAAUGACGGGAGAGGUUUUUUGAUCUGUGCAAUGCUGGCAAGGCACAGCCUCGCCUAAGCGCAAUGCCUGGACACUGGCUUGCUCCCAAGCCUGUGAACAUCACAGGCUGAAGGCACAGAAGAGCUCUUAGUUUCUGUAGCAAUUCCACUCAGUUUCUGCUUCCCAAGUAUGAUUAAAAAAAAAAGUAUGCAGUCUUCCUUUUCUGCUCAUAAUCCCCAAAUUGUUUUGAAUUCAUCCAGUUGCUUGCUUACAAGAUUACCAGGAAUACUUUUAUUUCAUUCAGUUACAAAUCAGUCUGAUCAGCACCUUCUACUGAAGUUCAAUGAUUGAAAAAAAAUCUUUUUCAAUCACUAAAUAGCAAUAACAAGAAUGCCGUUACUCCAACGAUUAAUGUUUUAAUAGAAAGAGUGCCCAGUUACCUAGAUUAAUCAUGUUAAAGGGAUUAAAAAGAAUGGUAUUUCUGCAUUACUUCCCUGGGCACAUUGCAUUCCUCUUCCAUUGAAUCCCUGUACAAUACUUUUUAAAUUACUACCAAUUUAAAGAGCAAAUGUUGCUCUGAGUAUAACCGGGAGAGUUACUGGUAAUUCCUUUCCAAUGGCAGUUGUCAAAGAUGUUUGAUCUUGAACAGUAAUUGCCACUACACGUUUAACAAAAUGAUUUAUGAUCAAACUUCAUAACUCUAUGUACACCAUUCUUAGACACUCACUGCAGCAACCAGCAUGUCUUCUGGUGUCUGUCUUCUGGUGUCUUCUGGAAAACACAACGUUUUCUAAAAACUGGAGAACUCCACCAUUCCGUGACAGCAGUAAUAGUCCUCAGCCAUCUCAACUUGCUAGACAGAUUUUUUUCAGUGCUAACUUUGCUGAAGACUACUUUGCAGUCUUUAGUUUGGUGUCUACAUAUGCCAAGCACUUCUUAGCAACAUCUUUCUACUUCCCAACACCAUGAAAAACUGCCAAGUUGCAUCAACUUCCUGUUCUACAGUAAACUAAACCCUCCAACCAGCCCAUCACCCUCCCCUUACCACCCCCUUUUAAAAAAUAAAUUUAAAGAUUAAAUUUCCUCUCAAAAAAUAAAAUAAAAUAAAAAUCACUCCUUUCAAACAUCCACAAGACUUGAAAUGUUUUACAAUGGAAAGUCUUAGAUUGGUUUACAACUACUAACUUGCUUUCUUUUCUCCUCCAGCUUGCUACAUUCAGCUGAUCUCUCAACAUUUUCAUUGUUUGACAGAGCUGUUCAAACUUUAGAAUCAGUUUUUAGCAAAUGCCUUCACGAGUCCAAGUGCUGGCUUUGCUGCUUCAUUGUUUGUUUGUAUGAUGGUGACUCAACCAUUAGAUACUCAGAGUAUUUCCAAAUGAGAGAAGUUCUACAGAUAUCAGUAUUCCACAAGAGACAGCACUUAGCAGAUAUUAUCUUGUAAUGCUUUGCACGACCUAUUUGUAACUAGUCAUUUAGCUUUCAAAGAUAAAAUAGAAGCCAAGCAGUAAAAAAAGAGAAGUCUUUGCCAUCCAUCUAGAAAGAACUCCUAAGCUGUGUGAGCCAAAGUGGCUAAGCACUCACCAGAGUGAAAAGUUACCAAGCCGCCCAUGAUGAAAAUUACUAAAAUGUAUUUGUGACUAAAGCUGUUAAUUAGCAGUCAACUUUCAUUUGAGAUUAGAAAAGUGGGAGCAUUUGCCAGCUCCAGCCCUAUCCUGCAUUCACCUGUGAGGGAAAGCUGACCAAAACGUCAACGAAGCUUUGUGAAAUCCCAGUACAUUACAGAACUAUCUUCAGUAGAACAUGCAAAUAGUACUGGUGCUUCAUUCACAGCUCUCUACACAGCUGACUACUAUAAGGAAAAAGAACAUUUUUUUCCCUGCUGAUCAUGAGGUUUUACAGGAAGAGCUCCAGUGCUCCCUUAGCCUGUAUAUUCUGAAGUCCAGUGCUGCUCCCAAUUAGGCCAGGGUAAUAACUCAGUUUUUAAGUGGAUUUAGGCUAUUUCCUGCUUUGUUAUUCAAGGCCAAGCAGGCCUGCGUUCUAGUGCAGCAGCAGUCCUACUGGCAGGCCCAUUAACAAAUCAGCAGAAGCCCAUCCAUCCAAGUAAAUUUCAGAACCAUUUGACUUCGAUUUAAACAUCUCCCUCUAGUCCUGAGCAAUGUUUUCCUCUAAGACAUUCUUCAAACACUUCUUUCCAGCAUUACCAAUUGGGUCUAGACGUUACUCUGCAUUUUAAAAUGAGGUACUGAGUUUCAGGCCAUACCUCUGCCCAUGACAGAAGGGCACUGAUGACGGGCACAAAACUUAGGAGGUGUUACAGAGCAUUUUACCUCUUAAGCAGAACAACUCCCAGAUGUGUUGAGCAAAGAGAUAGAAAGAAUGAGGCAGUUCAGAAGGCAAGCAGCAAACAGAGGAGUUGGAUAUCCUGACAAAGCAGAACCAGACAAUUCAAAUUGUUUUCAAAUAUUUUUUCUUUCCUUACCAAUGAAAAUUAUGAGAACAAAGAAAGAGAAACUCAGCAUGUUUUUCCUUUUCCUAUAAACCAGCACCAAGCUACAGACUUCCUCCUUUUAAUACUGUUAUCCAACAGGUAACUGCAGCAUGAGGGGGGAAAAAGACGAAUGGGAGACUAAGAACUGAUUUAUAUUAGGAAGAUUAUCAGUAACAUUUGCACAGAGGUAAAAGUAGAUAACAGCACGAUGAAUGUCAACUAGAAAUAGCAGAGAUGGUGCAAAUGACAUCUUGAUUUCAUCAGUCUGCUAUUACAUCAGCCCUUGGCCACUAACAGGCAACAGUUUUUUUUUUCUGGAAAUCGCAAAUUUGCACUUUCGGUAUAUGCAUGCCUGGAUGGAGAAGACAGAAGACAACAUGUUUAAGAGAGCAUUUUGGUAUUGAAGUACAAAUGCUUAUACUGUUAUCCUUUGCAAUGAGGAAAGAACUGUUCUGCACUUCUUCAGUUACAGCUCACCACUUAUCCUAAAAACAAGACUUCCUGGAAGAGAAGUGAAAAGACUUAUAAAUUGUUUAUCUCUUUCAGAGCUUAAAUCAGCAACUUUAUAUCUUAAGCCGUAAAUUAUAGUAGCUAUGCUAUCUGUUGUAGUCUGGUUCUAUAAAAAUAUCAUCAUUAAUGGUCAUCACCACUCGCCUCUUUACAUCUUCUGUCUGGUGAUAGCUUUCCUCAUAAAGAAGUAAAUAAGCCACAGAGCAGCCUGAUCUGUCCUCCACAUAAUUGCAGUAACCCAUUACCUGCUUCACAACAUCACGUAGGUAGCCCCAUCAGGGACAAGGACCACAUCAUCCUAGGUACAGUGCAAACAAACCAGAAAAGACAAUCCUUGCCCCAAAGGCAUCUUAGUGUAAGCAAAAAGGAAUCUAAUGACAAAACCAAGCUGGAACUGACUCCUGCACAGAAGACAAAAGAAAAGUAGGACUUCAGUAGGGUAAAGACCUUCAGCAAUUUUUCUUCCUUAGGUUAACUUCUCCUGUAUUAAAUGUAGCUCCUGUAUCAAAUGCAUUUUUUCUGUACUAAAUGUACUGAAUAUUAGAAGUUGUCAUGUCCUCAUAUAGAGCAAAAUAAAAUAACCUCAUCUCAUGUAACAAGAACUAAUAGAAAAAGAUUUAAACUUUAAAUGAACUCACCAAUUGUUAAUCCUAAAGUAUCAUAGUUUACCAACAGAUAUUUACAUAGCAGAAGCACAGCAGAUACACAGUUGGUACUAAUGAUCUUGUAUCUAUAAGGUAACAGGUUUCCAAAACUGACAGUGGCACUGAGUAGGUCAAAGAGUUAACCCUGAAUGUCAGACUUCCCCAGGAGGUGUUGCGUGAUAUCUAAGGACAUGUUCCCCCCCUGCCCCAGAAAAGCAUUAAAACUGAUACCUUCCCCGGGCACUGCCACACGAUUGCCUUGGAUCUUUGCACUCCAAUGCACCCUCCUACACAGAGACCAAUACAAGAUCACCUUAACAGCAGUGUGCUCCUUCUGCCAUCCUUCACUGACCCCAUGCCAGGGAAACUGAAGAAUACAGACACCUCAAAUAAAUUAUGUUAAGGUAGGAAAGAUAUUUUCUGAAGUCAUUAAACAUUGUUGAGAGAUGACUAGCCCAAGGGCUCAGCACCAACAAGACUAUAGAUGGACAAGUAGUUCCUCCUUCCGUUUCUCAAAUUCAUCCCAUGAGGAUGAAUCUAAAAAUACCCUGCAUUUGCUAUAUGGACAUCGAUUAAGCAUUCUUAUCCCAAAUCUACAAGUAACCUAAUUGGUGGGACUGCUGUAAUUUUUCACACAAUUUCAUCGCAAUUUCCUCCACACAAAAAUGUUAAAAAGUAAUAGAAAUGUUUUAAAAGAAAAUAAGAUUAGCUGCAUCUACAGUGGAAGUCUCUUAUAUGUUUAUUUUGACCUUUUUAAUUAAAAGACUCAAUUUUGCUAAAACUACAGCUACCACAAAAAGAAUAAUCAUUGAAUCAGAGAUUUGAAUACAAAAAUACAAAAUAGGAAACCAAUUCUCUCACAUAAAGAGCCAAAGUCUUGACAGUAAGGUGGAAGACUGUUAGAAAGAAGCAUGAGGUCAAGUACUCAGAAUGCAAAUAAUCCACCCAGACCUAGGAGUUUAUAUCCACAGUAACCACACUGAGAUAUCUGCCAAAGUUCAACUGCAGCUCAAGUUUCAGGGGGGGGGAAAGAAAUGCACAACAGAAAACAUCCAUUUAGACUCAAAAAGAGCAGCUUUAAAAGAUGCAAGAGCAACAUCUCACAACUAGAAACUGAAUCUGUUUUAGUAAAGCACAGCUUUUCAUGAACAAUAAAGUACCACCCUGAUGUCCUAUGAAACGUAGCUCAGUCAUGAAGUCCACCCGAAACAUUUGCUUACAACAUUUGCUUUUGAAUUUUAAAAAAGUCACAGCACCAUUUAACUAACUAAUCUGAGGCAACCACAUACUACAAUGAUAGCCACAGGAAGCAAAACCAAAAGGACAUUCUAAGAAAUGGAUGGGCUAAAAUACUUCAUUUCUUCAUAUUACUGCAGUAUUCGGGAGACCUAAUGAACCCAGAUCAUACUGUGCUAGACACGACUGUUCAGCCAAUUUAUAAACCAGACAUGCCUCUCAGUGAACAAAAGAAAGUACAUGCUAAUAAUGUUAUUACAGCAUCACGGCAGCAUUAUCUUAGACAAUGAGAAAUGUGAAAGUUUUAUAUGCUUUCCUUAUUGUUAUUAAAAGUAGCACUGUUACCUUGGCAACUGCUGAACCACUUGGGAAUUUGCUAAAGAAACCCAAAUGUUACUUGUACUUGCACAUUUGCAAUCAAUUUAGGGGAAACAAUUGGGUUUUGAUGAUUUUUAGUUUGUUUUUGAAAAAAAUCACACAUUUUUUCCUUAUGAGGACUAUGACUCUGCAACAGUCAUUUUUUUUUUCCAUGAAUAAAUGAAUUCUUGGGAUUAAGCCACAUGUUGUCUUAUUUGCACCCAAAGCAAUCUAUACUUCAGUAUGCAAUAAGAGUCUAGUUAACCCACCUAAGUUAUUGUCCAGAAAUACAAUAACAGACACCAUCCAGUGCACAGAGGAACACAUGUGAACAAGCAUCCCACCAAUUGCGCAGGUACUGGGAAG